CCCCUUGGACCAAUUUCCUGCAAGAUACUU
RNAcentral lists this non-coding RNA (30 nucleotides) under Mus musculus (house mouse). The record is from RNAcentral. Lineage: Eukaryota; Metazoa; Chordata; Mammalia; Rodentia; Muridae.